ACAGCUCAGUAACACGUGGACAACCUACCCAAAGGUCUGGGAUAACUCCGGGAAACUGGGGAUAAUACCGGAUAGGUCAAGAGUACUGGAAGGGUUUUUUGAUUGAAAGCUCUGGCGCCUUUGGAUGGGUCUGCGGCUGAUUAGGUUGACGCCGGUGUAAAGUACCGGCGUGCCGAUUAUCAGUACGGGUUGUGGGAGCAAGAGCCCGGAGAUGGAUUCUGAGACACGAAUCCAGGCCCUACGGGGCGCAGCAGGCGCGAAAACUCUACAAUGCAGGCAACUGCGAUAGGGGAACAUCGAGUGGCAUCUACAUUAGGUGUCUGUCCAGCUGUCUAAAAAACGGCUGUUAGCAAGGGCCGGGCAAGACCGGUGCCAGCCGCCGCGGUAAUACCGGCGGCUCGAGUGGUGGCCGAUAUUAUUGAGUCUAAAGGGUCCGUAGCCGGCUUUGCAAGUCUUGUGGGAAAUCCAGCGGCUUAACCGUUGGGCGUCUGCGGGAUACUACAUUGCUUGGGACUGGGAGAGGUAGGAGGUACUCAGGGGGUAGGAGUGAAAUCCUGUAAUCCUCUGGGGACCACCGGUGGCGAAGGCGUCCUACCAGAACAGGUCCGACGGUGAGGGACGAAAGCUAGGGGCACGAACCGGAUUAGAUACCCGGGUAGUCCUAGCCGUAAACGAUGCCCGCUAGGUGUCACGGCAGUCGUGAACUGCCGUGGUGCCGUAGGGAAGCCGUGAAGCGGGCCACUUGGGAAGUACGACCGCAAGGUUGAAACUUAAAGGAAUUGGCGGGGGGGCAC
RNAcentral lists this ribosomal RNA (794 nucleotides) under uncultured archaeon. RNAcentral's name for it is "bacterial SSU rRNA". It matches the Rfam family "Archaeal small subunit ribosomal RNA", at positions 85 to 879 of the family's 1478-position model. The record is from RNAcentral.